CAAGUUGUGGGUCAAUAUUGUUCCACAUGACAGAAUUUAUUAUUUUUGAGUUUGUUUUUUAAAAUUGGUAAGUUACAUCCAAAACUCCAAGUUAAAAGAAUGCUAAGGUUGUAAAGUCAAGCACUUAGAAGUUAGGAAAAGCCAAGAUUUAAGGUUGCCUGUACAACCUUAAUUCAGCCCCUUUGUGUGUAUGCCUCAUGAUACAGUCUUAACCAUGAGACCGCCCUUUCUCUUCUUGCAAUCCCCUGCUUCAUUCACUACAUACCUUCCAACUUCUGCAACACAUGAAGCAGCGGUCCUAGUAUAGACAACAGUCUCCUUCACUACAUAACCCUGAUUCAUCCUCCAAAGCAGAACCAACCUGUGCAUUGAACAAGGCAGGAAUCCUAUGGAAAAAUAGAAUGUGAUCAUGUAAUUAAAGACUGUUAAGAAAUUCUAACAAGUGGAAAUAUAUUGACCUCCAACUCAGGUGAUCAGCAGGAUUCACACCUUUAUAUCCACAGCACAGACCUCCACCACUUUAGCCAAUGCAGUAAGGAUAGCACGUGUACAGUUAUCCAUGUGGACCGGCCACUAAAGGGUGAUGAGACACACUUUGCCAGUAGGUUUCAUAGCUAUCUACUAACAGAAAAUAAAAGUAGAGAUUCAGGAUGCUUCACUUCAAUUCCCGGUUUUGGAGGGAGUAUUCUCUGUUGGAUAUAGACCUUUCUGACCCUGUGCACCCAUUAACUAUCUAAUUCACUUGGCACCAAUUGUGCUGUUUGUUUACUUUUUAUACUUAUUUCAAUUUGAACAAUUAAAAUAGCCUAGACUCUGAUCAGUUUCUCUUUCUGUUCUCUUGCACUAGCACAGAACUCUCUGGUUGCAAAUUCUGCAGAGGAAGUCUGGCUAAAAUAGCAAGAACUUUAUUCUUGGAAGAAAAACAAACAACAAAAAACAAACCUGCCUAGCCUUCAGAGAGGAGAAAUGCUCCUGGGUCCUAGUGCAGAUGGAGUUCCCUACUGGCACUUCUUGUCUGUUCCCUCCAGUGCAACCAUACAGAAGGCUAUUCUCCGAGUCCUGGCUAGAACUGCCCGUGAGGAUGGCAGUAACACUCAAAUCUACACAGCUGUUUGAAAGGCUCUCAAUAGCUUAUAUAAAAUAAUCACUUAAUCUUU
Chelonia mydas (Green sea turtle) is the source of this 1157-nucleotide long non-coding RNA. RefSeq lists it as uncharacterized. NCBI's taxonomy places the organism in Eukaryota, Metazoa, Chordata, Testudines, Cheloniidae. The transcript has 2 exons. The record is from RefSeq and is a predicted model, not a curated record.